Long non-coding RNA from Homarus americanus (American lobster), 1943 nucleotides. RefSeq lists it as uncharacterized. The transcript has 2 exons. The record is from RefSeq and is a predicted model, not a curated record. Lineage: Eukaryota; Metazoa; Arthropoda; Malacostraca; Decapoda; Nephropidae.
UCCAGCUGCAAAAAAUAAGGAUAAAUUAAAAAGAUAAACAAUCAUAUCAGUUCCAUAUACAGCAUCCUCUUUCAUAUACAGUAUACUGUUUAGAAACUGUAAUAUCUUUCCCUGUCCAGAAGUGUGGCACCUAUGUCACUAAGCUACCACAUUUCGACCUGGUCGUGGAUCAUUGUCCUCUGGUGCCUAAUCUCAACAGGAAGCUCUUCAGAGAGAUCGAGAAUCCGAGGCUGCAGCGUAUGCAUGAGAAGCUCUGUAUCUACAGCGUCACAGUCCAUUGGCAAAAGGGCAGACACCACUGCUGUGGUGUCUGCAUUCAGUGCAGCAUGCGAAGGCACCUGACUGGCGCCGUUACAAGACCAGACGCUAGUUAAGGUGAGUACUGCUGCCGCCUGGGAUGCAGAAUACACCGCCCUGCAUGAUGUCAUCAUGAGAAGAUUCCCAGAGCACCUUCAGGCUUUGGAAUAUGCAUUAUGACCUUACUGGGGCAUUCGCAGCAUGCUUGCUGUGGACGAUGACCUUAUUGUGUAUGGUUCACGACUCUUGAUUCCUUGCAGCCUUCGGCGUGAGAUGCUGCAUGACAGGCACCAGGGGGUGGAUAGAAUGAAGAGACGUGCUUGGCAGACCACGACAUAAAAAAAUGCAGUUUCAUCCUGUUCCCUGUGCCAAUCACUUUUGCCUAGCCAUCAGAAUGAACCAUUAUGGCAAGAUGACGAUUCCACAAAUUGUGCGUGUGAAUCAGCGUCCGCAGAUUACUUCCACGUGGCCGGCCGUAUCUUCCUCAUCUAUGUUGACCGAUUGUCUAGGUGGAUGUACAUAUCUUCCUGCCCUAGAACAGUGUCUGCAGCCCAUUUGGUAUGUGCCCUGCAUUCUGUAUUUGCAGAUACUGGUGUGCCGGUUGCCAUGAGGACAGAUGGCGGUCCACAGUUCACCUUGUCGACUCUCCACCAUUUCCUGGCUCGGUGGGCGGUGGAACACCGGAACACGUCCCCAUACAACCCACAUGCCAAUGGGCACACAGAGGCUGCUGUUAAGGUCGUGAAAAAGUUAAUCGGCACCACUGCAAGGAAUGGCAGACUGGACAUUGCACGUGGGUUACUGGAAUUGAGGAAGACAUUGCACGUGGGUUACUGGAAUUGAGCAAUACCCAGCGUGCUGACGGGAGGUCACCUGCCUGGUUUUGUUUGGACAUCCACUACAAUCAUCUGAUUCUGCACAUCAUCGAGCAUUCGUGGCAGAGUGGCAAUGUGAGGCAAACGAAUGUGACAGUAAAGCUCUACAUCUGGAUCGACGGGCCACAGAGCGACACAGUGCUUCAGCUGAACUACUCCCCAAACUGCAGCUCGGGUCAUAAGUGGAUGCGCAGGACCACACAUCAGGAAGGUGGGAAUGGUUGGGUGUCAAUGUUGGCAUCGGAUCCAGGCGAGACUAUCCUGUGAAGAUGGGCAGUGGCCGCACCCUGUGGAGGAAUCACAGGUUUCUUUGCCCUCAUCGUCCCAUGAUGCCAGUGGGUGUCACUGCUUCCAGACAGCUACCCGUGGAGACUGAGCGUCCAUCAACUAGUGCUGGCCAAUGUCGAAAUACUACGACAGCGUGUCCUGACAGUCCUGAGUUACCUGCAUCACCACCCAUCCCAUGGUGCUCAGGACAACAACGCAGAGCCAUGGCGCCUGACAAUACGUUGGUACUCUACGACGUACAGAACGAAGGGCCAAUGAUACAGCAUAACGUAUAGCCCCAGACUGUCCAGAUGUUCCACCUCCCUCAACAUCAGCAACAACAUCAACUUUGCCAAGCAACCCAGUAAAUUGUAGUGGGAAUAUGACCUGUUAGAGAAGAAAAUAAAUCAUAUGUAAAAAGAAAUAAAAUGUACUUAAUACACACAUCUGUAAAAAAUUAAUUGACUGCCUAUCUAUAAUAGAGAAGAUGUGGGGUAAAAUGUA